ACCUACUAGGCUCUAGUCGGGACCCAUUUGAUUCGGGGAAACCUACAUGAACUGACUUCUCGGAAUCUUGCACAGAGUCUGUGAUCUAACCCGACACUGAGCCACCAUGGCGUAGCGGGCCUGGCAAGUCCGGAGGCAGAAGGGAUUCUGCACGACCUGGUUGAGAAGGUGGUUCCUGCAGAUGGAUCCACGUAGGAGUUCGAGGAAUCCGGCUGCCCGCAGCACAUUGUCGUGGCUCAAGUCUUAGGCGCUUUAGCUGCGGCCUAAGGGACCAGUUCUUUUCCCACUUUGUUGGUUGUUUGGCGCGGAGGGUGUGGGGGGGCUGCAGUCGGGGGUCCUGAUUCGCUGCUCUGAUUGCCUGCUGUUCUUAAACCCAUUACCGGGUAAAACCAGGGGAAGCCGUUAACCCGCCCCGCCCCGCCUCCCCUGCGGGCUCAUCUAGCAUUCUUUCUACCGCCUGACAGCAGGGCAAUUCACCACCUCCUCAGACUCCUUUGGAAAACAAUUCUGUUUCUCCUCAAAUUCUUCCUCAUUAAAA
This is a long non-coding RNA of Tachyglossus aculeatus (Australian echidna), 538 nucleotides long. RefSeq lists it as uncharacterized. NCBI's taxonomy places the organism in Eukaryota, Metazoa, Chordata, Mammalia, Monotremata, Tachyglossidae. The transcript has 3 exons. The record is from RefSeq and is a predicted model, not a curated record.